CGAUAAAAUUACUCUUGAGUAAUCUACUUACAAGAAGAAUACUUCGAAAUAUCUGUAAUAUAGAAAAUUAUCGAUGUAUUUAAAUUAUAUGAUCACAAGACCGGUAAGGUUAUAUAACAUUGCGUGAUGGUGAAUAAUGGAAGGGAGUAUUCCCCUUCUCUAGACUGUCUCAGCUCGAGCAUUAUUAGUUCUACACAUGAUAGAGUAACUGCGGAACGUAGUGACAUUGCUGUAUGAUUAUGGUUAUUGCAAAUAUAUAUAGUAUUCCAAAUAAAUAUUGGCAACCAUCAUUUGUAGCAUUUAAGAUGAUCAUGGGUAAAAUAGUGAUUAAACUAUAUUGGAAGCAUAUAUCAUUUAUAUGAGGAAGAAAUUUUUUUUGAACAAUAUGGGAAUAAUAUUUCAUAAAAUUCUCUUAAAUUUUAUGAUAUAAG
This 431-nucleotide long non-coding RNA is filed under the name Apis florea (little honeybee). RNAcentral's name for it is "uncharacterized LOC116415058, transcript variant X1". The record is from RNAcentral. Lineage: Eukaryota; Metazoa; Arthropoda; Insecta; Hymenoptera; Apidae.